This 257-nucleotide ribosomal RNA is filed under the name uncultured bacterium. Its description in RNAcentral is "partial small subunit ribosomal RNA". It matches the Rfam family "Bacterial small subunit ribosomal RNA", at positions 26 to 285 of the family's 1533-position model. The record is from RNAcentral.
AGGACGAACGCUGGCGGCGUGCUUAACACAUGCAAGUCGAACGGUGAACCCCUUCGGGGGGGAUCAGUGGCGAACGGGUGAGUAACACGUGAGCAACCUGCCCCUGACUCUGGGAUAACCCCGGGAAACCGGAGCUAAAUACCGGAUAUGACACCUUCGGGCAUCCGAUGGGUGUGGAAAGAUUUAUCGGUUGGGGAUGGGCUCGCGGCCUAUCAGCUUGUUGGUGGGGUAAUGGCCUACCAAGGCGACGACGGGUA